CGGCUCAGUAACACGUGGAUAACCUACCCUCAGAUCUGGGAUAACUCCGGGAAACUGGAGAUAAUACCGGAUAAUCCGUGAACGCUGGAAUGCCUUACGGUUGAAAGCUUUAGCGUCUGAGGAUGGGUCCGCGGCCGAUUAGGUAGUUGCUGGGGUAACGUCCCAACAAGCCGAUAAUCGGUACGGGUUGUGAGAGCAAGAGCCCGGAGAUGGAUUCUGAGACACGAAUCCAGGUCCUACGGGGCGCAGCAGGCGCGAAAACUUUACACUGCGCGAAAGCGCGAUAAGGGGACCUCGAGUGCGUGCGCAAAGCGUACGCUUUUCAGAUGCCUAAAAAGCAUCUGGAAUAAGGGCCGGGCAAGACCGGUGCCAGCCGCCGCGGUAACACCGGCGGCUCAAGUGGUGGCCGCUAUUAUUGGGCUUAAAGGGUCCGUAGCCGGACCAGUUAGUCCCUUGGGAAAUCUUACGGCUUAACCGUAAGGCUGCCAAUGGAUACUGCUGGUCUUGGGACCGGGAGAGGCAAGAGGUACCUCAGGGGUAGGAGUGAAAUCCUGUAAUCCUUGAGGGACCGCCAGUGGCGAAGGCGUCUUGCUAGAACGGGUCCGACGGUGAGGGACGAAAGCUAGGGGCACGAACCGGAUUAGAUACCCGGGUAGUCCUAGCCGU
RNAcentral lists this ribosomal RNA (666 nucleotides) under uncultured euryarchaeote. RNAcentral describes it as "bacterial SSU rRNA". It matches the Rfam family "Archaeal small subunit ribosomal RNA", at positions 83 to 754 of the family's 1478-position model. Lineage: Archaea; Methanobacteriati; Methanobacteriota. The record is from RNAcentral.